GUGCUUGUUUUGGCAGUACAUAUACUAAAAUUAGAACGAUAGGGAGAAGAUUAGCAUGGCCCCUGGGCAAGGAAGACAUGCAAAUUCAUGAAGUGUUCCUAAAUAAA
RNAcentral lists this small nuclear RNA (107 nucleotides) under Zalophus californianus (California sea lion). Lineage: Eukaryota; Metazoa; Chordata; Mammalia; Carnivora; Otariidae. The record is from RNAcentral.